Molecule: long non-coding RNA, 320 nt
Filed under: Phoenix dactylifera (date palm)
Lineage: Eukaryota; Viridiplantae; Streptophyta; Magnoliopsida; Arecales; Arecaceae
Description: long non-coding RNA (PDAC_LNC017676)
Source: RNAcentral
UCUUUUGAGUUAAAAGGUGGUUGCUUGUCUUAAGUUCUAUAUUUUCUUUGGUGAUUAAAUCCUUAUCCUUAACUAAUGUAUCGUAUUUAUGUAGGUAUGAUUGAUUAGCGGUUUUUAGUUCUUUAUUCUUAAGAUUUAUGGCCUUAUAUUCUAUCAUUAAUUCAUUAAAUGCAUCAUAAAGUUCAUCAAAAGAAAAAUCAAGAUGCGAUUCGGAUGUUACCUCAUUUUCAUUGGCCAUGAAGCAGAAAUUGGCCUUUUCUUCUUGUUCAUCAUCCGAUGAAGAGGAUGAUGAGUCGGAGUCGGAUAGUAUUGUGACAAGA